CCAUGAUCAACUUGUUUUUAGACCUAGUGUUGUAUGGGUGAGUAGCCAGAAUGCCGAACAAACUAACCACCUGCAUGUACUUGAUGACAAACAAGCAAACUCGUUAGAGAUUAGAGCUUAACAUAUAGGCAACCGCACGUUGGGGAUGCAAUGCACCUAAGCAGUUAACCAUUUCUAUUAUGUAUUCGAACUGCCGCUUGCGUCAUCCCGGCUUUCACUAAUUUGCAAAUUUUCUUUCUCUCUUUCCUUUUCAUUCCUGCCUUUCUGUGCUUGAUUUUUGUCUUUAUUCUUUUAUUCUCUCAUUUUUCCUCUCUUGUUUUGCCAUUAUUUCUUUCCCACAGUUUUAUUGUUUUCUCUCCUCUCUUUUUUUCAUUUCAUGGUUAUGAUCGAAUCCUAUGGGGAUUACUUACGUCUCAUGACGCCGCAUGAAUCAGAUCAAGCGUAGUUCUAGGAACAUAUGCGAAAUAAAAACAUUUUUGGGGUUUUCAAAUUUUCAUAAAAUAAAAGAAAUCAUCUUAAUUACGACGACUUCUCCUAUAGAUUUAAACAUAAAAACUGAUAGACUCGAUGAGCGGACCAACAAACUUCAAAAGAAAACUGAAAAUACAGAUUCGAAAAUGAACUAACAAAAUAUAGAGUCGAACAAACAAAGUCAAGAAUACAUAAGUGCCUCAACUACUGCUCCAGUUGGACUUGCUACGGGCCUUUGCGCCAUAUCUUCUUGGAGGGGAAACAAGUCAUCCAUGAUUUGUCAGACAAAAAUCAUAACUGAAGCGAAGAACAUGGACCUAGUCAUGUCUUCACACACAUUGCACUUCAUCACAAAGUAGUUCGCAAUUCUCCUAACCCUCUCCCUGAUAAUACCCUUCUCUUGUAGCAACCGUCCGAUCUGUUGAGAUCUGGCAUCCAAAACUUGUUCGGCUACAUGAUUUUACUCUUGAAGCUGCUGCAGUUCUUUUUCUAGCUGUGACAUCAGGGUGUCACACCUCCUUUUUACACACCCGUAGGUAGUACAAGGGAGUUUUUCCAAUUUAAGUGACAUUAUUCGAAAUGGGAUUAUUUAUUCAUUUUUUGUUCUGAGUCAACACUUAGAAUAAUUUGUUUUCUGGUGUCCCAAGUCACCGGCUUAUUUUAAAUCCUAAAUUGAGGAAAUUUUGACUUUCCUUUUGAAGUCUGUGAACCAGAAAUUCUGAAUAAGGAAUUUUAUUAACCCAAGGGAAGGUGUUAGGCACCCCCGGAUUCCGUGGUUCUAGCACGGUCGUUUAAACUAUGAUAAUUGGUCUAUUAUCUGAUUUUAAUACAUGUUUUAGCCUAUGGUAUAAUUUUAAACUAUUAAUCGCUUUUAAUUAAUUUUAGGAAGAUUCAAUGUUAUCUAAAAUGCGUCUUUGGAUCACGCCACAUGAAAUGCACCCGUGGUUCGCGACACAUUUUAUUUAACGUUGUUGAGAUUUGGAUUUGGGUCACAUGAAAUCCACACCCGAGUUUAGGAAAGUAAUUUUUUAAAUAGCACGCCUAAAGCAAUUACGCACUUUCAACUUUGCGAGGGCCAUGAAAAAUUCAACUAAAUGGCAUGCCUCGAUUUCUAAGGAUUAAAAUUAAUUAAGUGAGGGCCAUGGGUUUUGAGAUUUUAUUUGGCAUGGCAUGCCUCAAAUUAUUCUAACAAAAAGGUUUUGCUAUUCGAAGUUGUUAUAGUCGGGUUAUAUGAAAUGCACCCCCGACUUGAGAUUCAUGUAUCGUAACCAUGCCACGGGAACCGUAUUCUUGGCCACGAUAAUUUAUUAAUCACGCCUAAAGCAGCUGACGCGAAAUUACUUUCAAGGAAAGAAUGGAUUCCCUUAUACAUGAAAAGGUGGCGAUUUGUGUUUAGCAAAAAUAAACCCACAAACCAAUUUUAACUAAGACAAGUUCAAAGUAAAUGAAACAUUCAUGUACAGUGAAAGCAGAUAUACAUAGGCAUAAAGGGAACAAUUGUUGAAUUAGAACCAAUCAACUUGUCCAAAUAAUUUUGAACAAAGGCAGCAGUAUAUGUUUGGAAAACCUCAAAGGAAUUAAUUAUAUAUGCUUCCAGUUAUUUUAAACUAACCAAGAGUGAGUCAACAACCACAUCAUACUUUCACAAGAUGAAAACAAAUCAGACCUUCGUGUUGAAAUGCAGCGAGCUCGAUUUAAAAUCCAAAAUCACUGUGAACCAUUAUUAGUCCAAGCUUGGUUCCAAAGGAAAUCAUUGUACAAUUUACGAAUUUCCAAUAAUAGCUCAAACACUAGUCUAGAAUGCUAAGUCAACCAAACUUAAUUACUACGCCAAUAUCCAACUCCCAAAUUUAUGUCAGUACAUAAAUCUAUUUCAAUUGAUGUAUGUCACUAUUACCCAUUUGAGCCAUAGAAGGCAAAGCUCUAUUUUCACUUAAUCGGUCAACAAAUUAACUUUUCAAACAAGACAACCUAAAUAAAUUAAUGGUUUCAGAGCAAAUGAGUAGAGCGUGAACACGCCAGAACACCUCACAAAAUAACUAGAGCAUAAGAAAACGCAUGAAAAUUUGUUGAAUUCUUCAGAGGCACCCAAACAAACCAAUGUUCAAGCAUGAUUUCAUAUUAGGCCAAAUCUGAGAAAUACAAGUUUAAAGAAAACAUACCAAAUGGCACGAGGAUUUAAAUAUAAGCCAACAAAGCAAAGAAAACAACUGGUUGGAGCUGUGCAGCGAUGAACAGCAUGACGCAGCUUCAAUCUUCCGAAUUUGAAACCAAACUCGAACACCCAGAAAUGGCAGAGGUUGAAUUUCGAAAUUAAUUUUUCUUUAACAUUCUUUCAGAAAUUUCAGCUCUUCUUUUGUUUAUCAAACUUUGUGAUUUUUCAAAUCUUCACUUGGAAUUUUCAGCUUUGUUUCAGCCGUUUGCGUUCAAAUCGCGAGUGGGUGAGUCUUCAUCUUCGUUUGAGUGUGGUGGUGAGUGUAUUCUCCCAUGGAAAACGAAGGAGGGAGGUCGGAAAAGAGAAGAUGGAAGGGAUGCUCGUUCUGGUUUUUUUUGUUCAAGAGCGUCGUUGUUGGGUUUCUAAUGGGCUCCCUCCUUUUCUGAUAUUCUCCCUGAUUU
RNAcentral lists this long non-coding RNA (3087 nucleotides) under Nicotiana tabacum (common tobacco). RNAcentral describes it as "long non-coding RNA (NTAB_LNC016981)". Lineage: Eukaryota; Viridiplantae; Streptophyta; Magnoliopsida; Solanales; Solanaceae. The record is from RNAcentral.